This 204-nucleotide ribosomal RNA is filed under the name uncultured Gammaproteobacteria bacterium. RNAcentral describes it as "partial 16S ribosomal RNA". The record is from RNAcentral. Lineage: Bacteria; Pseudomonadati; Pseudomonadota; Gammaproteobacteria.
AGCUGCCUUCGCCAUUGGUAUUCCUCACUGAUAUCUACGCAUUCUCACCGCUACACCAGAAAUUCUACUCUCCUCUAUCGUACUCUAGUUUAUUAGUUCUGAGAUGCAGUUCCUAAUUGAGCCCAGGGCUAUCACAUCCAACUUAUCUAACCACCUACGCGCGCUUUACGCCCAGUAAUUCCGAUUAACGCUUGCACCUUCCGU